Molecule: long non-coding RNA, 471 nt
Organism: Cygnus atratus (black swan)
Lineage: Eukaryota; Metazoa; Chordata; Aves; Anseriformes; Anatidae
Exons: 3
Source: RefSeq, a predicted model, not a curated record
AGUCCAAGGAGCUGUUUUCCUAAGGGUUUUGCAUUGUAGGCUUCAGUCCUGCAAGAGGACUCUGCUUACCAAGGACUCUGCACAGAGCUGCUCCCCCUCAGGUGUCGAGGGGUCAUUUACGUAGGAUCUAAAAUGAAAGAUAUAAAGAAGAGGACACGACAGACAAGAAGACUUUUCUGGCUUUAUGAAACUCUGUGGAAAAAAUGUAAUCCUGAACACUAGAAAAUGAAGCCCUCUUCCAAUAAGAAUGGAAUCAAUGAUUUUGUGCCAAAUUGUUUACCCAAGAACCUGAAAAUUAUCUAACAGCUGACCUGGCAGACAGCUGAGAUGAGAAAAGGUAGUGUGGCAGAGCUGAGAGGAAGACAAUAUGAUGCAAGCAGUAACAAUGGAUAGCUUGGAAAAUGUGAUGAUAAAUACCAAAAUGUUAAGCUUGCAUCCACACCACUCGUUUGCUUUAAAAAUAAAAAAAUU